GCCUGCGACCAUACCACGUAGAAUGCUCCCGAUCCCGUUCGAUCUCGGAAGAUAAGCUGCGUCGGGCCCGGCUAGUACUUAGAUGGGUGACCGCUUGGGAACCCCGGGUGUUGCAGGCA
This 119-nucleotide ribosomal RNA is filed under the name Hypsibius dujardini. The record is from RNAcentral. Lineage: Eukaryota; Metazoa; Tardigrada; Eutardigrada; Parachela; Hypsibiidae.